RNAcentral lists this ribosomal RNA (330 nucleotides) under Triticum aestivum (bread wheat). Its description in RNAcentral is "partial small subunit ribosomal RNA". The record is from RNAcentral. Lineage: Eukaryota; Viridiplantae; Streptophyta; Magnoliopsida; Poales; Poaceae.
AUGCGUAUGUUGAGAUGGAUGUGUGGCCACACGAGGAAGGAUCGAGUCCGGAAUGAUGAUAUACGAGAUAGAGUUGGUGUAGCACCAAUUGAGGAGAAGCUUGUCCAACAUCGUUUGAGAUGGUUUGGGCAUAUUCAGCGCAGGCCUCCAGAAGCUCCAGUGCAUAGCGGACGGCUAAAGCGUGUGGAGAAUGUCAAGAGAGGGCGGGGUCGACCGAUUUUGACAUGGGAGGAGUCCGUUAAGAGAGACCUGAAGGAUUGGAGUAUCGACAAAGAGAUAGCUAUGGACAGGGGUGCGUGGAAGCUUGCUAUCCAUGUGCCAGAGCCAUGA